CUACCCGGGUAUCUAAUCCCGUUCGCUCCCCACGCUUUCGUCCAUCAGUGUCAAUAUACCGUUAGUAGCCUGCCUUCGCAAUCGGUAUUCUAUGUGAUAUCUAUGCAUUUCACCGCUACACCACAUAUUCUAGCUACUUCACAGCAAUUCAAGGCCCCCAGUAUCAAUGGCAGUCCCACGGUUGAGCCGCGGGCUUUCACCACUGACUGAGGGGCCCACCUGCGGACCCUUUAAACCCAAUGAUUCCGGAUAACGCUCGCACCCUCCGUAUUACCGCGGCUGCUGGCAC
This 289-nucleotide ribosomal RNA is filed under the name uncultured Flavobacteriaceae bacterium. RNAcentral's name for it is "partial 16S ribosomal RNA". Lineage: Bacteria; Pseudomonadati; Bacteroidota; Flavobacteriia; Flavobacteriales; Flavobacteriaceae. The record is from RNAcentral.